Molecule: ribosomal RNA, 497 nt
Filed under: uncultured bacterium
Lineage: Bacteria
Description: partial 16S ribosomal RNA
Rfam family: Bacterial small subunit ribosomal RNA
Source: RNAcentral
GAUGAACGCUGGCGGCGUGCCUAAUACAUGCCAGUCGAGCGAACAGACGAGGAGCUUGCUCCUCUGACGUUAGCGGCGGACGGGUGAGUAACACGUGGAUAACCUACCUAUAAGACUGGGAUAACUUCGGGAAACCGGAGCUAAUACCGGAUAAUAUAUUGAACCGCAUGGUUCAAUAGUGAAAGACGGUUUUGCUGUCACUUAUAGAUGGAUCCGCGCCGUAUUAGCUAGUUGGUAAGGUAACGGCUUACCAAGGCAACGAUGCGUAGCCGACCUGAGAGGGUGAUCGGCCACACUGGAACUGAGACACGGUCCAGACUCCUACGGGAGGCAGCAGUAGGGAAUCUUCCGCAAUGGGCGAAAGCUUGACGGAGCAACGCCGCGUGAGUGAUGAAGGUCUUCGGAUCGUAAAACUCUGUUAUUAGGGAAGAACAAAUGUGUAAGUAACUAUGCACGUCUUGACGGUACCUAAUCAGAAAGCCACGGCUAACUACGUG